GAUGAACGCUGGCGGCGUGCCUAAUACAUGCAAGUCGAGCGAACGGACGAGAAGCUUGCUUCUCUGAUGUUAGCGGCGGACGGGUGAGUAGCACGUGGAUAACCUACCUAUAAGACUGGGAUAACUUCGGGAAACCGUAGCUAAUACCGGAUAAUAUUUUGAACCGCAUGGUUCAAAAGUGAAAGACGGUUUUGCUGUCACUUAUAGAUGGAUCCGCGCUGCAUUAGCUAGUUGGUAAGGUAACGGCUUACCAAGGCAACGAUGCAUAGCCGACCUGAGAGGGUGAUCGGCCACACUGGAACUGAGACACGGUCCAGACUCCUACGGGAGGCAGCAGUAGGGAAUCUUCCGCAAUGGGCGAAAGCCUGACGGAGCAACGCCGCGUGAGUGAUGAAGGUCUUCGGAUCGUAAAACUCUGUUAUUAGGGAAGAACAAAUGUGUAAGUAACUAUGCACGUCUUGACGGUACCUAAUCAGAAAGCCACGGCUAACUACGUG
Molecule: ribosomal RNA, 497 nt
Filed under: uncultured bacterium
Lineage: Bacteria
Description: partial 16S ribosomal RNA
Rfam family: Bacterial small subunit ribosomal RNA
Source: RNAcentral